AUGAAUGAGGGGUCUAUCAGAUUGGGUUGCGCAAAAGGACUGUGGAAAUGCUGGGCUCCACUGGGCUGCAGACUGUUCAUGUGGUUGGCGCUGCAGCAAAGACUUUGGACCUCCGAUCGUAGAUUCCGGCAUGGACUUCAGGAUGCUACAUCUGUUUGUUUUCUAUGUGAUCAAGAGGAGGACUCGGUGGAGCAUAUAAUGCUCCAAUGUGUUUACUCGAGGCAGGUGUGGUUCCAAUGCCUCAGGUGGGCUAAGAUCGACAUGCGGAUGAUGCCCUCGCCGACGGAUAUACUACAGGAUUGGUGGCCAACUGUCCGGAAGCGGAUCACCAAGGCGUAUCGAAAGGGAUUUGAUUUGCUGGUGCUUUUGAUUUGUUGGAACAUUUGGAAGCAAAGGAAUGGGAGAGUUUUUGGUGGACAUGGCAUUUGCAAGGAAGCGGAUCUCUCCAUGAAGAUUCAUCAAGAGCUGCAACUUUGGCUAGCGGCAGGAGCAAGGAGUGUUCAACACUUGUGUGAGUAG
This 519-nucleotide ribosomal RNA is filed under the name Triticum aestivum (bread wheat). Its description in RNAcentral is "partial small subunit ribosomal RNA". Lineage: Eukaryota; Viridiplantae; Streptophyta; Magnoliopsida; Poales; Poaceae. The record is from RNAcentral.